CAGUCGGACGAAGAUGCCGGAGUGCUUGCACUUUGGCAGACUGAGUGGCGCACGGGUGAGUAACGCGUGGGUAACCUGCCUUAUACAGGGGGAUAACAGUUGGAAACGACUGCUAAUACCGCAUAAGCGCACGGUAUCGCAUGAUACAGUGUGAAAAACUCCGGUGGUAUAAGAUGGACCCGCGUCUGAUUAGCUUGUUGGUGAGGUAACGGCUCACCAAGGCGACGAUCAGUAGCCGGCCUGAGAGGGUGAACGGCCACAUUGGGACUGAGACACGGCCCAAACUCCUACGGGAGGCAGCAGUGGGGAAUAUUGCACAAUGGGGGAAACCCUGAUGCAGCGACGCCGCGUGAGUGAUGAAGUAUUUCGGUAUGUAAAACUCUAUCAGCAGGGAAGAUAAUGACGGUACCUGACUAAGAAGCACCGGCUAAAUACGUGCCAGCAGCCGCGGUAAUACGUAUGGUGCAAGCGUUAUCCGGAUUUACUGGGUGUAAAGGGUGCGUAGGUGGUAUGGCAAGUCAGAAGUGAAAGGCUGGGGCUCAACCCCGGGACUGCUUUUGGAACUGUCAAACUAGAGUACAGGAGAGGAAAGCGGAAUUCCUAGUGUAGCGGUGAAAUGCGUAGAUAUUAGGAGGAACACCAGUGGCGAAGGCGGCUUUCUGGACUGAAACUGACACUGAGGCACGAAAGCGUGGGGAGCAAACAGGAUUAGAUACCCUGGUAGUCCACGCCGUANACGAUGAAUACUAGGUGUCGGGCAGNAUAGCUGUUCGGUGCC
RNAcentral lists this ribosomal RNA (778 nucleotides) under uncultured bacterium. Its description in RNAcentral is "bacterial SSU rRNA". It matches the Rfam family "Bacterial small subunit ribosomal RNA", at positions 59 to 847 of the family's 1533-position model. The record is from RNAcentral.